GGUGCUUGCACCUGAUUGAUUUUGGUCGCCAACGAGUGGCGGACGGGUGAGUAACACGUAGGUAACCUGCCCAGAAGCGGGGGACAACAUUUGGAAACAGAUGCUAAUACCGCAUAACAGCGUUGUUCGCAUGAACAACGCUUAAAAGAUGGCUUCUCGCUAUCACUUCUGGAUGGACCUGCGGUGCAUUAGCUUGUUGGUGGGGUAAUGGCCUACCAAGGCGAUGAUGCAUAGCCGAGUUGAGAGACUGAUCGGCCACAAUGGGACUGAGACACGGCCCAUACUCCUACGGGAGGCAGCAGUAGGGAAUCUUCCACAAUGGGCGCAAGCCUGAUGGAGCAACACCGCGUGAGUGAAGAAGGGUUUCGGCUCGUAAAGCUCUGUUGUUAAAGAAGAACACGUAUGAGAGUAACUGUUCAUACGUUGACGGUAUUUAACCAGAAAGUCACGGCUAACUACGUGCCAGCAGCCGCGGUAAUACGUAGGUGGCAAGCGUUAUCCGGAUUUAUUGGGCGUAAAGAGAGUGCAGGCGGUUUUCUAAGUCUGAUGUGAAAGCCUUCGGCUUAACCGGAGAAGUGCAUCGGAAACUGGAUAACUUGAGUGCAGAAGAGGGUAGUGGAACUCCAUGUGUAGCGGUGGAAUGCGUAGAUAUAUGGAAGAACACCAGUGGCGAAGGCGGCUACCUGGUCUGCAACUGACGCUGAGACUCGAAAGCAUGGGUAGCGAACAGGAU
This 733-nucleotide ribosomal RNA is filed under the name Limosilactobacillus fermentum. Its description in RNAcentral is "bacterial SSU rRNA". It matches the Rfam family "Bacterial small subunit ribosomal RNA", at positions 66 to 778 of the family's 1533-position model. Lineage: Bacteria; Bacillati; Bacillota; Bacilli; Lactobacillales; Lactobacillaceae. The record is from RNAcentral.